CCACCACCAAAGCAUUCUCUGGUGUUGAAGGCCCUGCAAAGCAGCAUCGCGGUGGCGGAGCGUCGUUUGCGACGCCCAACGCACAAAACAAGCGGUGAGUGCUUUGGGGUGGGGUGACUGCGUACCUUUUGUAUAAUGGGUCAGCGACUUAUAUUCUGUAGCAAGGUUAACCGCAUAGGGGAGCCGUAGGGAAACCGAGUCUUAACCGGGCGUUAAGUUGCAGGGUAUAGACCCGAAACCCGGUGAUCUAGCCAUGGGCAGGUUGAAGGUUGGGUAACACUAACUGGAGGACCGAACCGACUAAUGUUGAAAAAUUAGCGGAUGACCUGUGGCUGGGGGUGAAAGGCCAAUCAAACCGGGAGAUAGCUGGUUCUCCCCGAAAGCUAUUUAGGUAGCGCCUCGUGAAUUCAUCUCCGGGGGUAGAGCACUGUUUCGGCUAGGGGGCCAUCCCGGCUUACCAACCCGAUGCAAACUGCGAAUACCGGAGAAUGUUAUCACGGGAGAC
This 505-nucleotide ribosomal RNA is filed under the name Salmonella enterica subsp. enterica serovar Hadar. RNAcentral's name for it is "partial 23S ribosomal RNA". The stretch from base 88 to 505 matches the Rfam family "Bacterial large subunit ribosomal RNA", at positions 566 to 985 of the family's 2925-position model. Lineage: Bacteria; Pseudomonadati; Pseudomonadota; Gammaproteobacteria; Enterobacterales; Enterobacteriaceae. The record is from RNAcentral.